GUAGUCUCGCACAGAUGCAUAUCAAUAAGCGGAGGAAAAGAAACUAACAAGGAUUCCCCUAGUAACGGCGAGUGAAGCGGGAAGAGCUCAAAUUUGAAAUCUUAAAGGGUUUCCCUUUACGAAUUGUAGUUUAAAGAAGUGUUUUCUGUUGAGGUUUUGGUAAAAGUUCUUUGGAAUAGGACAUCAUAGAGGGUAAGAAUCCCGUAUUUGACCUUUACUUUCAACUUUGUGAUACACUUUCAAAGAGUCGGAUUGUUUGGGAAUGCAGUCCAAAAUGGGUGGUAAAUUUCAUCUAAAGCUAAAUAUUGGCGAGAGACCGAUAGCGAACAAGUACCGUGAGGGAAAGAUGAAAAGAACUUUGAAAAGAGAGUUAAACAGUACGUGAAAUUGUCAAAAGGGAAGCGUUUGACACCAGUGUUGUUUUUCUGAAAAUCAAUUAAAGAACUGUUUAUGCUAAGUUGUUUAGACUUUAUCAGCUAACUGUUUAGUUUUGAGCUUUUCUUUAAUGCACUUUUCAGUUAACAAGUCAACAUCAAUUUCUUUUGCUGUAAAAAAGCUUGAGGAAGGUGGCUUGAGAUUCGUCUUAAGUGUUUAUAGCCUCUUGCCUAUGCAGUCGGAGAGAUUGAGGUCUGCAGCGUAGAUCCUUCGGGGCUAAAUGCAUUUGUGCUAAGUUAUAAGCAUUUUAUAGACAACUUGUUGACUAUGAUUUGUCUUGUAGCUUACUCGCUUAUGUUAUUUUACCUACGCUUAGGAUGUUGAUCUGUAGUGCGUGCGC
Molecule: ribosomal RNA, 775 nt
Filed under: uncultured Neocallimastigales
Lineage: Eukaryota; Fungi; Neocallimastigomycota; Neocallimastigomycetes; Neocallimastigales
Description: partial large subunit ribosomal RNA
Rfam family: Eukaryotic large subunit ribosomal RNA
Source: RNAcentral